This 253-nucleotide ribosomal RNA is filed under the name uncultured bacterium. Its description in RNAcentral is "partial 16S ribosomal RNA". It matches the Rfam family "Bacterial small subunit ribosomal RNA", at positions 524 to 776 of the family's 1533-position model. The record is from RNAcentral.
UACGUAGGGGGCAAGCGUUGUCCGGAGUUAUUGGGCGUAAAGGGCGCGUAGGCGGUUUCUUAAGUUUGAAGUGACAGUGGGUGGCUUAACUACCCAAGGCCUUUGAAAACUGGGGAACUUGAGGACCAGAGAGGGACAUAGAAUUCCGGGUGGAGUGGUGAAAUGCGUAGAUAUCCGGAGGAAUACCAAAGGCGAAGGCAGUGUCCUGGAGGGUGACUGACGCUGAGGCGCGAAAGCUAGGGGAGCGAACAGG